This 172-nucleotide small nuclear RNA is filed under the name Opisthocomus hoazin. Its description in RNAcentral is "U1 spliceosomal RNA". It matches the Rfam family "U1 spliceosomal RNA". Rfam says of the family: U1 is a small nuclear RNA (snRNA) component of the spliceosome (involved in pre-mRNA splicing). Lineage: Eukaryota; Metazoa; Chordata; Aves; Opisthocomiformes; Opisthocomidae. The record is from Rfam by way of RNAcentral.
GUACUUACCUGGCAGGGGAGACACCGUGAUCAGGCAGGUGGCAUUCCCAGGGCGAGGCUCAUGCCUUGCACUCCAGGUGUCCUGACCUCUGUGAUUUCCCCAAACACGGGAAACUCAACUGCAUAAUUUGUGGUAGUGGAGAAAAAGUUAAUUAAAAAAAAAUCGUGCUCGC